RNAcentral lists this ribosomal RNA (253 nucleotides) under uncultured bacterium. Its description in RNAcentral is "partial 16S ribosomal RNA". It matches the Rfam family "Bacterial small subunit ribosomal RNA", at positions 524 to 776 of the family's 1533-position model. The record is from RNAcentral.
UACGAAGGGUGCAAGCGUUACUCGGAAUUACUGGGCGUAAAGCGUGCGUAGGUGGUUUGUUAAGUCUGAUGUGAAAGCCCUGGGCUCAACCUGGGAACUGCGUCUGAAACUACUCGGCUAGAGUAUUGGAGAGGGUAACGGAAUUCACGGUGUAGCAGUGAAAUGCGUAGAUAUCGUGAGGAACACCAGAGGCGAAGGCGGUUACCUGGACAAUUACUGACGCUCAGGCACGAAAGCGUGGGGAGCAAAAGGG